UACAGAGGUCUCAAGCGUUGUUCGGAUUCAUUGGGCGUAAAGGGUGCGUAGGCGGCGUCGUAAGUCGGGUGUGAAAUCUCGGGGCUCAACUCCGAAAUUGCAUUCGAUACUGCGGUGCUCGAGGACUGGAGAGGAGACUGGAAUUCACGGUGUAGCAGUGAAAUGCGUAGAUAUCGUGAGGAAGACCGGUGGCGAAGGCGGGUCUCUGGACAGUUCCUGACGCUGAGGCACGAAGGCCAGGGGAGCAAACGGG
This 253-nucleotide ribosomal RNA is filed under the name uncultured bacterium. RNAcentral describes it as "partial 16S ribosomal RNA". It matches the Rfam family "Bacterial small subunit ribosomal RNA", at positions 524 to 776 of the family's 1533-position model. The record is from RNAcentral.